Molecule: long non-coding RNA, 839 nt
Filed under: Mustela putorius furo (domestic ferret)
Lineage: Eukaryota; Metazoa; Chordata; Mammalia; Carnivora; Mustelidae
Description: lncRNA (ENSMPUG00000031250.1)
Source: RNAcentral
GGAGCCCAGGGUUCCUCCAGACGAGGCUGUGUCUGGGAAUGACCAUGAGCUUCCUGGCGGCAGGGAGGCAGUCCGAGGAGGAAAGCGUGUCUGAGCAUGCAUGCACCACACGGAACACGAGCCCACGGACGCAGCUCACCGAGGGCAGAAGCAUACCAUCAACUGGGAGGGCCAAAAAAGGCAAGAAAUCAUGCUUUGGACUGGGAAAUCUUCAGCUCUGUGGUCAAGUUUACUAAGCUUUCCUGUUCUCGAAGCUCAGCACACUCUGUCUUACCUCCACGAUGAUGGACACGUUGCUCCUGCCGUCUGGCUUCUACUUGUCCAUUUGAUUUUAGUUUGGAUGACAUCUCCUCCAGGAAACCUUCCCUUCUUCGAUAACCCUUUUCUGGGCUGGCAUUCACCCUGAUUUCUUCUAUACUAUGGCACUUGUCAGUGUUGCAAUUAUCUGGUGAUACGUAGACUGCAAGUUUGGUGAAGACAAGGAAGUGCCUGCCUCACUCAUGUCCCUAUUCCCAGCUUUCGAUCACUGAUUCACGGAUCUCUUCGUGGUGACCUGGUAUGUAAACCAGUCAAAUGAUCAUAGGAAAGAGAUGUCAUUGUGCAGCUUUAUCCUUCAGAACUGGCAUGCCGGAGGGGGUGCACUGUGAUGUCUUCUUCGAGGAAGCUGGGGCAGGGAAGAUAAGAGGAGGCAUGGAACCUAGUUGCAUCAGGCUACCCCCCACCCCAAUCAGGGUGUUCUAUUCCAUGGGAAUACAAUCUGCGAAUCAUUAAUGAGGCGGAAGGGUGCUUCUAUUCAGGGAGCUCCCACCACAGGCCAAGAUGGUUUUCCAGAUGCCAAC